This 508-nucleotide ribosomal RNA is filed under the name uncultured bacterium. RNAcentral's name for it is "partial 16S ribosomal RNA". It matches the Rfam family "Bacterial small subunit ribosomal RNA", at positions 28 to 507 of the family's 1533-position model. The record is from RNAcentral.
GACGAACGCUGGCGGCGUGCCUAAUACAUGCAAGUCGAACGCUUCUUUCCUCCCGAGUGCUUGCACUCAAUUGGAAAGAGGAGUGGCGGACGGGUGAGUAACACGUGGGUAACCUACCCAUCAGAGGGGGAUAACACUUGGAAACAGGUGCUAAUACCGCAUAACAGUUUAUGCCGCAUGGCAUAAGAGUGAAGGGCGCUUUCGGGUGUCGCUGAUGGAUGGACCCGCGGUGCAUUAGCUAGUUGGUGAGGUAACGGCUCACCAAGGCCACGAUGCAUAGCCGACCUGAGAGGGUGAUCGGCCACACUGGGACUGAGACACGGCCCAGACUCCUACGGGAGGCAGCAGUAGGGAAUCUUCGGCAAUGGACGAAAGUCUGACCGAGCAACGCCGCGUGAGUGAAGAAGGAUUUCGGAUCGUAAAACUCUGUUGUUAGAGAAGAACAAGGACGUUAGUAACUGAACGUCCCCUGACGGUAUCUAACCAGAAAGCCACGGCUAACUACGUG